GGAAAUGAGGCUUAGUGAUAGAGUGUUUGCCUAAUAUGCAUAAAGUCCUGGGUUCAAUUCCUCAGUACCA
This 70-nucleotide transfer RNA is filed under the name Dipodomys ordii (Ord's kangaroo rat). It matches the Rfam family "tRNA". From Rfam's summary of the family: Transfer RNA (tRNA) molecules are approximately 80 nucleotides in length. Their secondary structure includes four short double-helical elements and three loops (D, anti-codon, and T loops). Further hydrogen bonds mediate the characteristic L-shaped molecular structure. tRNAs have two regions of fundamental functional importance: the anti-codon, which is responsible for specific mRNA codon recognition, and the 3' end, to which the tRNAs corresponding amino acid is attached (by aminoacyl-tRNA synthetases). tRNAs cope with the degeneracy of the genetic code in two manners: having more than one tRNA (with a specific anti-codon) for a particular amino acid; and 'wobble' base-pairing, i.e. permitting non-standard base-pairing at the 3rd anti-codon position. The record is from Rfam by way of RNAcentral. Lineage: Eukaryota; Metazoa; Chordata; Mammalia; Rodentia; Heteromyidae.